CAGAAAGUUCUCCGGGCUCCGCGCAGCCGCUCGCAUCCAUGAGUCGGGCCGGGAUGUCGUUCCUGCCGCCGUCUUCACGGCCGGACGCGCCUGGCCCGGGCCUCAGAACCGCCGCCCGGCCGCCAACCCUCAGACGGGCAGACGUGGGGGGACCGUGUGGCCCAGCAGUUCUCCUCCCGGGUGGAAAUGGAGAAAAACCCUGAAAACCUGUGUCCACACGAGAAGCUGUUCAUACGCGUCCACAGCAGCGGGAUUCACGACGGGCAGAAGGUGGACACGACCCCGGUGCCCAUGGAUGGACGGCCGUGUCCACCCACACGCGUGUCCACACACAUGUCCACCCACACGCGUGUCUGUCCACACGCAUGUCUACGCAGACAGACGUAGGCUGCAGGCGUCAGUCUAGACACAGACACUGAAUCUGUAACUGGGGUGGUGCCAACAGUUCCCACGUGUUCCUAAAAGUUACUAAGCAUCUUUGUACGAAAUCCACACGGACCCAGAACCAAGGGCGAACCUCGCGGCGCGUUCCACAGGUUCCCACUGUUCCUCGUCCGCGCUCUUUGCUUCCAGACGCUUUCCACGUCUGUCUUCAACCCCGGAAUCCGCGGGUGACACAGUCACUGUCGACUUUUCUCAGGUGACCUCGUGCUCCCCGCGGUUCCACAUCUUCCAUCUUUGGGUUUUUUUUUUUUUUUUUUUUUUUUUUUUUGCUGAGGAAGACUGGCCCUGAGCCAACAUCUGUGCCCAUCUUCCUCUACUUUCUACGUGGGACGCCUACCACAGCAUGGCUGCCAAGCGGUGCCAUGUCCGCACCCGGGAUCUGAACCAAUGAACCCUGGGCCGCCAAAGCAGAACAUGCGAACUUAACCGCUGCGCCACUGGGCUGGCCCCAAAACCACCUCCGUCUCCCAGGCUUGUGUGGGAAAAGGUUUAAGAGUCGAGUGGAGGGCAGAGGAGAAGCAGCCACGCGUCUGGGAUGCUGUGACGCCAACCAAGUCAUUAGGUUUUAUUUUCGUAGCUUCAGCCCAUUGCCCAAAGCGAGCGCACUCCCCGCUCAGCAGGUUCCCGUUUCCCCCAAGUUUACGUCCUGAAACUUCCCGGGUGGCGUCAUCAUUUCUUCUGAAACGUCACUUUCUAAAAAUCGUGAUAAAACCCAACACACAACCCGCCCUUUCAAGCCCCUUCCCUGCCCAGCUCGGCGGCACCAGCACCUCCCCGGUCUGGGGCGCGCGGCCCACCCGCCCGGACGGACGGAUGGACGGACAGACAGACAGACGGAUGCCCCCGGAACGCCGUCUGAAGCGGGAGGAGGCUCGGCUGCUCCUAGCUGCUCGGGUCGCGGGGCACAGGCGCCUGCGGGCGUUUCCGGCGGCCCCAACCCCGCAUUCCAGGCGAGCCGGGAGCCCCUCCCCGCCCAGCUGGCCGUGACCCGACCCGCCGACGCCCCGGGCCCAGCAGAGCCGGACAAACGAGAAAACCCCAGAAAGGCCGCGGCCACCGCCGUUUGUCUUUCCCGGAAGCCCGGCGUCGUUAUUCUUUAGAGAAACGCACAGACAGCCCCCCGCCCGCCCCAGGCUCCUCUGUCGCCAACAGGCUCUGAAUUCCCGGGGCGUCGUCCCCGGCGGAAAGUUCUAGAAUGAGGUGGGCGCCCUGCGCAGGCCCCGCCCCUUGUUUGCUGGGCGACUUCCGUUCUCCGAAGAUAAACUGGGUCCAACAACGAAAACAGACCCACCAGGACUCGCGCUCUCUCCAAAGCCGGCCUCUGGGCUCCGGAAUGUUCUGUGUCAUUUCCACAUAUUGUGCGAGGUUCCGGUGGGGACGUGGGGACACGGCCGGGCCAAGGCUCCCGCCAGCCCGCGGCCUUCGCGCCGAUUUCCCCCUGUGAACCUCUCGUCUCCGGAACCUUCCAUGGCGGUUCCUUUCCGACCCGGGCCUGGAAGGAUUCCAACCGCGAGGGCCUCCCCCCACGCCAAGACCCCGGAGGCCCCACCCGGAGGGACGGGCACAUUCCGUGCGUUCCUGCCUCCUGCCCGGUGUUUGUUUGUUGCUUUUAAAUCAGCCGCCCCGGGAGUCCUGUUCCCUCUGGAUUCUGCUGGCCGCCAGCCUCCGGGGACUUUGAGCAAGUCCUGGGAGCCAGGGAACAUUCCAGCGCCGCCCAGGCCGUCCCCCCGGAGACCCUGCACUGUGGGGGGCGUGCGCCUGAGGGUCCGGCCGGCCUGCGAGACCCCACGGGCACCCCGGCCCGUCAGAACGUCUACCUUCCCGCUGAGGAGGAAGGGGAUGGGGAUUUCGGUGGCCUGCAGGUCAGGCUGGCUCCAGCUGCACAUGAGGCCCUGCCCUGGGGGAGGGGAAAGAACGGGGGACCGGGCAAGACUGUGAAGAGCUGGGCUUUGCUGGGAGGAAACCGAGGGGGUCAAAGUCCCCCCCAGGUCCUUGCUGGAUUUGCCCCCGCAGCCCCUGACCGUUGUCACCCAGAGUCCACAUUUCUGUCCCCAGUGUCAGGCACACAGUGGGACCUCGGAGGUGGACAGGCCAGCCCUGUGGACACAGUUUUGUCUGAACGCCUGGCUUUGGUCAUUCGGGUGUAGACGGCGGAGCUGUGGGUGCUGGUGGUGCCUUCCGUCCGGUUGGGGAGGACCCGCCCUUUUCCGCAGCUUCGGCCCCGUUUACCUUGUUCCCACCGUGACCAGGAUUCUUCCCCCGUGUGGACGGAGCCUGGAGCACGGGGUUGGGACCCGCCCUGUGGCCGGGCCGGGUGCGCGUCAGACCGCAGGGCGUGUGCUUGUCGGUGGAGAGCUGGGCGCGCAGGAGGGAGAGCCGGAAACCUGGGCAAGUUCGGGCAGCCCCGCGGUGAGUUACCACGUUGGACUCACGGCUGGAAAAACCUGCCGGGGGUGCUUGGGGCCCCGCUUCCCUGAGUCGGUGCCACUGUCCCUGAGGAGCGAGGACCAGGCAGCCAUGAGUGUCCACCUGCGGCCGCCCCGGUGGCUCCUUUCCAGCAUUUUCUGCCUGGAGGAGAGGAGGAGCUGGCGGGGAGGCCCGUGCUGGGACUGCAGGAGCACUGGCAGCCUCUUUGGCCCUCUCCUCCAGGCCUCCCUGCAGCUGGGGAAACUGAGGCCCAGGGUCAGUCUCCAAGGUCACUCAGCUCGGAGAUGCUGCUUCUCGAAUCGAGAUCUGCCCGACCCCGACCUCCAGCCACCGUCGGGGUCAGACGUGGGCACAACGGGAGCCGGGAGGCCGCCGUCCCCGCCUUCACAGGAUCCCUGCUGGUCACACGGGGAGCAGCCGAGAUGCGCUGCGGUGGAGGACGGACAGACGGACUGCGGUCCGUCCAGACCACGGAAUGUCACUCAGCGAGAAAGAGAAACGAGCCUAACGCCACGGGAAGACGCGGAGGAGCCUUCAACGCACGUGAGGAAGCGAAGGGAGCCGGUCGGAGGAGGUUAGACAUGCGCGAUUCCAACCACAGGACCCUCUGGAAACGGAGACACCCGUGGGCCCAGGCGUUGAGGGGGACGAACACCGGGGCCGGUGAGGACGCGGAGAAGGCGAAGCCUGUGCCCGGCUGGUGGGAACGUGCGCUGGGGCGGGCGACGUGGAAAACAGGGUGGGAGAUUCCUCAAAACGUUAAAGAUGGGAAUACCGUACCGUCUGGCAGGCCCGCUUCUGGGUAUUUAUCCAGAGAGACAGAAUUCGGACAGACGCGUGCGCCCCGUGUCCACUGCAGCGCUACUCACGACAGCAAGACGUGCAAACAGCCCAAGUGCCCAUCGAGGGGGAUUCGAGCGGAUAAAGACGUGGUGGUUGUGCACAGCGGAAUACUACGCAGCCAGGAACAAGACCGAAACCCUCCCAUUUCCCGCAACAUGGACCAACCUGCAGGGCGUGAUGCUCAGUGAAAUGAGUCGGACAGAGAAAGACAAAUUCCGCCCCGUCUGCCUUACGUGUGGAAUCUAAGAACUUGAGCUCAUGGGGCCAGAGAGGAGAACGGUGUCACCAGGGCUGCGGACGGGGAGACGGGAGACGUGGUCGCAGGCACGACCUUCCGGUUAUAAGAAAACAGUUCUGCGGCCUGAUGCACAGGCUCGAGGCCUGUACCUGGUGCUUGAAACGUGCCGGGAGCAGAUCUUCCGUGUUCUCCCCCCGAGAAACAGGUCCCGCGUGGGGCUCGGGUGCGUGUGCACCGGCUUCGUCGUGGGGGCCACGUCACAACGUUUACACACGCUGAACCAUCACGUUCCACCUCACAUACAGACGGCGUUAUCUGUCAGUCACAGCUCGAUAAAGCUGGGGAAAAGUGUGGAAAAAUAAGAGUGUUUGCUCCCAGAGAGAAGGAUGGUGGGAACGAGUUGGAGCAGACACGUCUUUACACCCUCUGUGCGUGAAAAUGAAUUUGUGCCCAAAAUUAGUAAAGGCGUGUUUUUAAAUUAUGCAGAAAAAAUAAAUUAUGCAAUUCAGUGGUUUCUGGUAUAUUCUUUCUUUUUUUUUUUUUUUUUUUUUGCUGAGGAAGACUGGCCCUGAGCUCACAUCCGUGCCCAUCUUCCUCUAUUUUAUAUGUGGGGCGCCUACCACAGCAUGGCUUGACAAGCAGUGCCAUGUCUGCACCCGGAACCCGAACCAGCGAACCCCGGGGCACAAGCAGGUGGGGACUCAGUUUCCCGGCUCCCCAGGCGCCUCCCCCUCCUCACGUCCCCUCUUGGCCCCGUCGCAGCCGCCAAGUCAGGGUCUCCCCCUCCAUCUCAGGUGGACAGACUGAGGCUGCAAGGACGCCCUGCCCUUUGGGGUCAGGGCCUCCCCGGGGUCAGAGGAUGAGAGGCAGGAGGGGUCCAGGCCGACCGGGUCCCCCGGGACUCAGUUCCCCGAACUCUGGGCAGCUCGGCGUCGAUGCCACACGAAGGGGGCACCCGCGUCCCGUCGUUGGCUCCUGGCCGGGUGGCGAGUGACGCUCUGGGAUCAGGUGGCCAACGCACCUCUGCAGCCCCCGUUCCUUGGCCACAAGCAGAUCCGUCAGCUCCUGGAGCCUCAGUUUCCCCACUCUGUCGUCACACGGGUCAGGCCAUCACUGACUGCCACACACCGUCUCGCGUGGCUUUGAUGCCCCGGCCUCCUCCGGGUUCUGACGCAGCUUCCCCUCCCCUC
RNAcentral lists this long non-coding RNA (5142 nucleotides) under Equus asinus (donkey). RNAcentral describes it as "lncRNA (ENSEASG00005034437.1)". Lineage: Eukaryota; Metazoa; Chordata; Mammalia; Perissodactyla; Equidae. The record is from RNAcentral.